AACGAACGCUGGCGGCAUGCCUAACACAUGCAAGUCGAACGAGACCUUCGGGUCUAGUGGCGCACGGGUGCGUAACGCGUGGGAACCUGCCCUUAGGUUCGGAAUAACUCCCCGAAAGGGGUGCUAAUACCGGAUAAUGUCUUCGGUCCAAAGAUUUAUCGCCUUUGGAUGGGCCCGCGUUGGAUUAGCUAGUUGGUAGGGUAAAAGCCUACCAAGGCGACGAUCCAUAGCUGGGCUGAGAGGAUGAUCAGCCACACUGGGACUGAGACACGGCCCAGACUCCUACGGGAGGCAGCAGUGGGGAAUAUUAGACAAUGGGCGAAAGCCUGAUCCAGCAAUGCCGCGUGAGUGAUGAAGGCCUUAGGGUUGUAAAGCUCUUUUACCCGGGAUGAUAAUGACAGUACCGGGAGAAUAAGCUCCGGCUAACUCCGUG
This 433-nucleotide ribosomal RNA is filed under the name uncultured bacterium. Its description in RNAcentral is "partial 16S ribosomal RNA". It matches the Rfam family "Bacterial small subunit ribosomal RNA", at positions 29 to 507 of the family's 1533-position model. The record is from RNAcentral.